Molecule: long non-coding RNA, 1907 nt
Filed under: Canis lupus familiaris (dog)
Lineage: Eukaryota; Metazoa; Chordata; Mammalia; Carnivora; Canidae
Description: lncRNA (ENSCAFG00030023854.1)
Source: RNAcentral
AGGAAGCACUGCUCCUUAUUCAUAGGUGCUGGGGCACCCCCAGCUUGGACUGUAGCUGGGUCAGCAGGUCCAGGCAGGAGUGGCCCUUGGUGUGAUUGGUGCCUGUGAUUGAUGUCCAAAUACUUCUCUUGACAUAUUUGAUUAUUUGCUUGCUGGGUCCCCAUGUGGAAAAAUCAAAGAUUAUUCACCAAAUUCUUCCUUAGAGUUUAUGUGAGAAAAUAUGGACAGAAUGACCAUAUCUGACUGCAACUUUUUUCAUCUAUUGUGCUGUGCAUGCAGUGGCCCAAAUCCUUCAUGGAAUGCUUUGGUGAAAACAGAAUUAAGGCCUCCAGGACAUGCAAACUAACCUCUGCUGCUUCCCUGGCAGGUGGAAGGUCCCACAGAAGCAGAACAGGCAUUGACCACCUCACAGCAUCUGGAGAUAUGUUUUUGAGCUACAUCAUGACCAAGUUUUCAGCUCAAGGUCAAGGAGCAGCUCCCUUUGCCUAUCAUCAGAGAAAAAGAGUGCCACCCAGGUCUAGCCAAAAUGCAGCAAUAACCAGAUUAUUCCAUGAAGGGGAGAGCUAUUCCUGGGGACCAUCUGAUAGAGAGAUGGGAACUGGUCUUUUAUCACUCAGGAUAGGAUCAAAAAGGACCAUUUAAGACCUAAAUAAGAAAAGGAAAAUAUGAUUCUGAGCUUAGUGGACUUUGGGAUGUCUUCCUUGGGAAGAGGGUGAGCAAUUUCUCUAUGUGAGAGGAAAAGUGAUCAGAUUAUUUGGUGAAAAAAAGGGGGACAUUAUACAGUUCUUAUUUCAUUCUGGGCACAUAGAAGACCAAGACCAUGUUUUCUAGACCCCUUGCUUUUAGAAAGACUAGGUGAUUAAUUCUAACCAAUGGUAUCACUUUUAAGCCAAAGAAUAAAAGAUGAUGUGUGAUAUCCCUAUGUGCUUUUUAUCUCCUUCACUGGCAUGAGUUCCAGAUCAUAUGCCAACAAGAUCAUGGUAUGUCCAUCAGCUUUGUCCUAUGUGGCUUGUAAAGAAGUCCAGUGUUUGAUGCAACAACUUUUUACUUAUUAAACUCUUAAUUAUUGGACUUAUCGCCACAGCAUUACCUAGAUUAUCCUACCCUCUCAAACUUUCUAAAAAAUAAUUUUUCCAGAACUCUUUUCAUCUAAUGCUGCUAUGUUCAGAAGCAUGUCCCCCUAUUGCUGUUGGUCACAGAUAAGUCCCUAGGAAGAGAUUCAGAGAGUUCCUGUGGGAAUUGAGCAAAGGCAGGAACAGAAAGGAGAAGCUGAAUCACAAAAUAGUUGCAACUGAGGGUCAACCAAUCCCAAAAAUCUCUGGACAGGGACAGCCCUUCAGUGUUGCCCAAAUGAAGUCCAGGGAAACAAGCUUCAUAUUCCCAUGUCUGCCAGACAUUGGCCUUGGGAUGGUCCCUAAGAGAGUUGCAUCCUUGGGUAAGGUCACUCCCAAUGAUGUGGGCACUUCCUUUGGGGUAGAGCUAUGAGCUGUCCUCAGUCAAUAAUCUCAGUAGCUGUGAGAUGGAUGCCUCAGCCCUGAGCACAAACCUGGGCUAACACUCAAAGUAUCUAUUGCAUUUCUUCACCUUCUUCUUUCUCAACCCAGUUAAUAAUCUCACAAUCUGAGAAAGUCCCUGGAAUGGCAUACAUAUACACAACUCCUCCCUUUUCUUUUGAUUGGGUGAGAGGGAAAGGCAUUGGGGAAGAGCAAAUCAUCUCUCUCCAGAACUCAGGCCCACUUAGCUGUGGGCUUUUGUAGAGCCCUAGGAAUGUUCCAAUCUCAGCUGAAAAUUCUGAGGUUCUUUCUGGAACAAUAGCCAUAGGUUUUUAUAUGUGACUCUCCUUAUUUUUCUCAAUUACAUUAGCUAAAAAUAUAAGUGUUGGGGCCAGGCGGGAAGGGAAACUCCUC